UACGUAAUGCGAAUUUGCAGGAUUCAGUGAGUCAUCGAAAUUUUGAACGCAUAUUGCACUUCCGGGUUAGUCCUGGGAGUAUGCCUGUAUCAGUGUCCGU
Molecule: ribosomal RNA, 100 nt
Filed under: Phytophthora capsici
Lineage: Eukaryota; Oomycota; Peronosporomycetes; Peronosporales; Peronosporaceae
Description: partial 5.8S ribosomal RNA
Rfam family: 5.8S ribosomal RNA
About the family: 5.8S ribosomal RNA (5.8S rRNA) is a component of the large subunit of the eukaryotic ribosome. It is transcribed by RNA polymerase I as part of the 45S precursor that also contains 18S and 28S rRNA.
Source: RNAcentral